GAUGAACGCUAGCUACAGGCUUAACACAUGCAAGUCGAGGGGCAGCAUGAACUUAGCUUGCUAAGUUUGAUGGCGACCGGCGCACGGGUGAGUAACACGUAUCCAACCUGCCGAUGACUCGGGGAUAGCCUUUCGAAAGAAAGAUUAAUACCCGAUGGCAUAGUUCUUCCGCAUGGUAGAACUAUUAAAGAAUUUCGGUCAUCGAUGGGGAUGCGUUCCAUUAGGUUGUUGGCGGGGUAACGGCCCACCAAGCCUUCGAUGGAUAGGGGUUCUGAGAGGAAGGUCCCCCACAUUGGAACUGAGACACGGUCCAAACUCCUACGGGAGGCAGCAGUGAGGAAUAUUGGUCAAUGGACGAGAGUCUGAACCAGCCAAGUAGCGUGAAGGAUGACUGCCCUAUGGGUUGUAAACUUCUUUUAUACGGGAAUAAAGUGAGGCACGUGUGCCUUUUUGUAUGUACCGUAUGAAUAAGGAUCGGCUAACUCCGCGCCAGCAGCCGCGGUAAUACGGAGGAUCCGAGCGUUAUCCGGAUUUAUUGGGUUUAAAGGGAGCGUAGGCGGACGCUUAAGUCAGUUGUGAAAGUUUGCGGCUCAACCGUAAAAUUGCAGUUGAUACUGGGUGUCUUGAGUACAGUAGAGGCAGGCGGAAUUCGUGGUGUAGCGGUGAAAUGCUUAGAUAUCACGAAGAACUCCGAUUGCGAAGGCAGCUUGCUGGACUGUAACUGACGCUGAUGCUCGAAAGUGUGGGUAUCAAACAGGAUUAGAUACCCUGGUAGUCCACACAGUAAACGAUGAAUACUCGCUGUUUGCGAUAUACAGUAAGCGGCCAAGCGAAAGCGUUAAGUAUUCCACCUGGGGAGUACGCCGGCAACGGUGAAACUCAAAGGAAUUGACGGGGGCCCGCACAAGCGGAGGAACAUGUGGUUUAAUUCGAUGAUACGCGAGGAACCUUACCCGGGCUUGAAUUGCAACUGAAUGAUGUGGAGACAUGUCAGCCGCAAGGCAGUUGUGAAGGUGCUGCAUGGUUGUCGUCAGCUCGUGCCGUGAGGUGUCGGCUUAAGUGCCAUAACGAGCGCAACCCUUAUCGAUAGUUACCAUCAGGUUAUGCUGGGGACUCUGUCGAGACUGCCGUCGUAAGAUGUGAGGAAGGUGGGGAUGACGUCAAAUCAGCACGGCCCUUACGUCCGGGGCUACACACGUGUUACAAUGGGGGGUACAGAAGGCAGCUACACGGCGACGUGAUGCUAAUCCCUAAAGCCUCUCUCAGUUUCGGAUUGGAGUCUGCAACCCGACUCCAUGAAAGCUGGAUUCGCUAGUAAUCGCGCAUCAGCCACGGCGCGGUGAAUACGUUCCCGGGCCU
Molecule: ribosomal RNA, 1359 nt
Filed under: uncultured bacterium
Lineage: Bacteria
Description: bacterial SSU rRNA
Rfam family: Bacterial small subunit ribosomal RNA
Source: RNAcentral